UCCGUAGGUGAACCUGCGGAGGGAUCAUUACUGAGUUUACGCUCUAUAACCCUUUGUGAACAUACCUAUAACUGUUGCUUCGGCGGGUAGGGUCUCCGCGACCCUCCCGGCCUCCCGCCUCCGGGCGGGUCGGCGCCCGCCGGAGGAUAACCAAACUCUGAUUUAACGACGUUUCUUCUGAGUGGUACAAGCAAAUAAUCAAAACUUUUAACAACGGAUCUCUUGGUUCUGGCAUCGAUGAAGAACGCAGCGAAAUGCGAUAAGUAAUGUGAAUUGCAGAAUUCAGUGAAUCAUCGAAUCUUUGAACGCACAUUGCGCCCGCCAGCAUUCUGGCGGGCAUGCCUGUUCGAGCGUCAUUUCAACCCUCAAGCUCUGCUUGGUGUUGGGGCCCUACAGCUGAUGUAGGCCCUCAAAGGUAGUGGCGGACCCUCCCGGAGCCUCCUUUGCGUAGUAACUUUACGUCUCGCACUGGGAUCCGGAGGGACUCUUGCCGUAAAACCCCCCAAUUUUCCAAAGGUUGACCUCGGAUCAGGUAGGAAUACCCGCUGAACUUAAGCAUAUCAAUAAGCGGAGGA
Molecule: ribosomal RNA, 575 nt
Filed under: Colletotrichum gloeosporioides
Lineage: Eukaryota; Fungi; Ascomycota; Sordariomycetes; Glomerellales; Glomerellaceae
Also listed under: 3 other names
Description: eukaryotic LSU rRNA
Rfam family: 5.8S ribosomal RNA (bases 203-356)
Source: RNAcentral